This is a non-coding RNA of Gossypium arboreum, 119 nucleotides long. NCBI's taxonomy places the organism in Eukaryota, Viridiplantae, Streptophyta, Magnoliopsida, Malvales, Malvaceae. The record is from Rfam.
AGGUGCGAUUAUACCAGCACUAAUGCAUCGGAUCCCAUCAGAACUCCAUUGCUAAACGUGCUUGGGUGAGAGCAGUACUAGGAUGGGUGUCUUGCUGGGAAGUCCUCGUGUUGCACCCC